RNAcentral lists this ribosomal RNA (254 nucleotides) under uncultured bacterium. Its description in RNAcentral is "partial 16S ribosomal RNA". It matches the Rfam family "Bacterial small subunit ribosomal RNA", at positions 524 to 774 of the family's 1533-position model. The record is from RNAcentral.
UACGUAGGGUGCAAGCGUUGUCCGGAAUUAUUGGGCGUAAAGAGCUCGUAGGCGGUCUGUCGCGUCUGCUGUGAAAACUCAGGGCUUAACCCUGAGCUUGCAGUGGGUACGGGCAGACUAGAGUGCGGUAGGGGAGACUGGAAUUCCUGGUGUAGCGGUGAAAUGCGCAGAUAUCAGGAGGAACACCGGUGGCGAAGGCGGGUCUCUGGGCCGUAACUGACGCUGGAGGAGCGAAAAGCAUUGGGGAGCGAACA